RNAcentral lists this ribosomal RNA (509 nucleotides) under Scaptotrigona pectoralis. Its description in RNAcentral is "partial small subunit ribosomal RNA". The stretch from base 350 to 508 matches the Rfam family "Bacterial large subunit ribosomal RNA", at positions 2473 to 2632 of the family's 2925-position model. Lineage: Eukaryota; Metazoa; Arthropoda; Insecta; Hymenoptera; Apidae. The record is from RNAcentral.
CUGCCCAAUGAAUAAAUUAAAUGGCUGCAGUAUAAAUAACUGUACAAAGGUAGCAUAAUCAAUUGAUUUUUAAAUGAAAUCUGGAAUAAAAGAAUUAAUGAAAUAUAUACUGUCUCAUAUAUAUAAUAUAAACUUAAAUUUUUAAUAAAAAUGUUAAAAUUUAUUUAUGGGACGAUAAGACCCUAUAGAAUUUUAUAUUAAAUUAUUUUUAUAAAUAUAAAAUAUAAAAUUUAAAUUAAUAUUUAAUUGGGAGAAUUAUUAAAUUUAAAAAAUUUUAAUUUAAAAAAACUUUAAUUAAAGAAUAUAUCUUGAUCUUUAAAUUAAAAUUAAUAGAAUAAAUUACCUUAGGGAUAACAGCGUUAUAUUUUUUUAUAGAUCACAUAGAAAAAAAUGAUUGCGACCUCGAUGUUGAAUUAAGAUAAAUUUUAAAUGUAGAAAUUUAAUAAUUAAGUCUGUUCGACUUUUAAAAUCUUACAUGAUUUGAGUUCAAAUCGACGUAAGUCAGAUUG